Molecule: long non-coding RNA, 262 nt
Filed under: Physcomitrium patens
Lineage: Eukaryota; Viridiplantae; Streptophyta; Bryopsida; Funariales; Funariaceae
Description: long non-coding RNA (PPAT_LNC004593)
Source: RNAcentral
UGACUAUGCGGUGGCCGCUGCAGUAGUGACAGGAAAAAUGUUCGAUCAGGUGGUUUCAUAGUUUGACACUGUGUCUGUAAUUUAUGGAAUACACCUGGCUUAAUAAACUAUAAAUGAACUGACCAGGAAUACACCUGGAUAAAUAAACUAAAAAUAAACUGAUCAGGAAUAUAUCUGGAUAUCACCCUGAGGCUUGUUGUAGAUUACGAGUAGUUGGACUGUGGUGCUUGUGACUGGUUCGUCAGCAGGCUUGUGAAUUUCC